This 253-nucleotide ribosomal RNA is filed under the name uncultured bacterium. RNAcentral describes it as "partial 16S ribosomal RNA". It matches the Rfam family "Bacterial small subunit ribosomal RNA", at positions 524 to 776 of the family's 1533-position model. The record is from RNAcentral.
UACGUAGGGGGCAAGCGUUGUCCGGAUUUAUUGGGCGUAAAGAGCGUGUAGGCGGCUAGAUAGGUCCGUUGUGAAAACUCGAGGCUCAACCUCGAGACGUCGAUGGAAACCAUCUAGCUAGAGUCCGGAAGAGGAGAGUGGAAUUCCUGGUGUAGCGGUGAAAUGCGCAGAUAUUAGGAAGAACACCCGUGGCGAAGGCGGCUCUCUGGUACGUGACUGACGCUGAGACGCGAAAGCGUGGGGAGCAAACAGG